GUGGGGAAUAUUGGGCAAUGGGCGCAAGCCUGACCCAGCAACGCCGCGUGAAGGAAGAAGGCUUUCGGGUUGUAAACUUCUUUUGUCAGGGACGAAGCAAGUGACGGUACCUGACGAAUAAGCCACGGCUAACUACGUGCCAGCAGCCGCGGUAAUACGUAGGUGGCAAGCGUUAUCCGGAUUUACUGGGUGUAAAGGGCGUGUAGGCGGGACUGCAAGUCAGAUGUGAAAACCACGGGCUCAACCUGUGGCCUGCAUUUGAAACUGUAGUUCUUGAGUACUGGAGAGGCAGACGGAAUUCCUAGUGUAGCGGUGAAAUGCGUAGAUAUUAGGAGGAACACCAGUGGCGAAGGCGGUCUGCUGGACAGCAACUGACGCUGAGGCGCGAAAGCGUGGGGAGCAAACAGGAUUAGAAACCCCAGUAGUCC
This 428-nucleotide ribosomal RNA is filed under the name uncultured bacterium. RNAcentral's name for it is "bacterial SSU rRNA". It matches the Rfam family "Bacterial small subunit ribosomal RNA", at positions 354 to 796 of the family's 1533-position model. The record is from RNAcentral.